This is a long non-coding RNA of Armigeres subalbatus, 996 nucleotides long. RefSeq lists it as uncharacterized. The record is from RefSeq and is a predicted model, not a curated record. NCBI's taxonomy places the organism in Eukaryota, Metazoa, Arthropoda, Insecta, Diptera, Culicidae. The transcript has 4 exons.
CUGGCUUUUAACUUUGACAGCGCCGUUUGUUUUCAAAUUACGACGAGCUCGACUAGAUUCAUCGUUUUCUUUCUCCGCGGAAGUGGACUGGGCGUCGGAAUUACAGAUCAGAACUGACAAUGCAUUCGUGAAUUUGUUUUUUAAUCUAUUCGUAGGUAGGGUGGCAAAGUUUACUCAACCUACAGCCGGAAGAUAGAAGAAAAACUGUUCCGCAUCUCUAACAGCAGCAGUGGAGAACCUACAACAAACUUCGAACCACCAGCUCAUCCGGGACAAUUCGAAUCGACAGCCACCUUUCAUGCUGUACCAGGUAACGGAACAAUUUUCACUACUACAGCAACCGGAGGAUUGGAGAAGGAAAACCCGGAAGUGAUAAUGGUAUCGAAAUAUAUUACACCGGAAGGAGGAGAAAAAGUAUGCUGUCGAAUCAGCAGCCACCCGCCCUGUCAACAGAUAAAACCAAUAGAGAACAGCUGUGGAAGUAUGCAGAUAGAAAACCCAUACUGUCACUCCCAGGUUUUUCAUAAGUUGCUAUCUCCACCGCCAUGAAAUACUCACUGAUUGGGUGAAACAUUUCUCAUGGCUGGGUACUGCCGAAAGGUCGAACAAGGUUAGUAGCUGUGCAAAGAAGGAAGAAGAUAGGCUUGAGAAGUCACCAAGUCACUGCUAGACGAUACACUCCAAGGCAUCAGCAAAAAAUCUUCCAGGAUUUUGCUUCCGGGAAACUCUUUUUCUGUGGAGUAAGUAUCGUUCACUUGAAUUGAUAGGCUAACGAAAGAUGUUACCGACAGAGUCCACAGGCUCAAAAAGCAAGGAAAAAUAAUCAUUUUAUCAAAUCCACCGAAACAGUAAUCAUGUGUGCCCAAAAAGUCGUUUUAAAAAGAUGUGACGAAGCACAAUAGUCUACCGAAUACCUGUCGAUUCCAUAUUCUAUGAAAAAACACCUUUUGUUACACACAUUUUCUCAAUUACAUGAACACUAAUUUAUUUUUUUGU